Molecule: unclassified non-coding RNA, 348 nt
Filed under: soil metagenome
Description: partial contains 5.8S ribosomal RNA, internal transcribed spacer 2, and large subunit ribosomal RNA
Rfam family: 5.8S ribosomal RNA (bases 1-120)
Source: RNAcentral
GAUGAAGAACGUAGCGAAAUGCGAAAAGUAAUGUGAAUUGCAGAAUUCAGUGAACCAUCGAAUCUUUGAACGCACAUUGCGCCCGCUGGAACUCCGGCGGGCACGCCUGUCCGAGCGUCAUUUCAACCCUCAGGCCCCCCUUCGCGGGCGGGCCUGGUGUUGGGGCCCGGCCGCUACCCUGCGGCCGUCCCCUAAAUCCAGUGGCGGCCUCGCCGUGAUCCCUUGCGUAGUAAUGCACCUCGCACCGGAGAGCGCCGUGGCCACGCCGUAAAACCCCCAAUUUUCAAUGGUUGACCUCGGAUCAGGUAGGGUUACCCGCUGAACUUAAGCAUAUCAAUAAGCGGAGGA